UCAGAGCUGAAGGAUUCUACUUCCGCAUUGAAUCAAUUUUCCUUUCUUCGAUUCUCGAUUUGCAAUCUCGUAAUUGAUUUUCCCUUUCAAUUCUCAAUCUGUAAUUUCGCGAUCUGUGAUCUCACCCUUCGUCCCUCAAUUUUAUUUUUUUUGUUUCUUAUUGUAAUCACUCGCUUUUGAUUCAUGGCACUUGACACAGAUCAGCCGACCUUGACUACUGAGACCCAACAAACACAGAUUCAGCAGGAUUUCAACAAUGCCUUGUAUAUGCAUCCUUCGGAGAGUGUUGGGUCGUCGAUCA
RNAcentral lists this long non-coding RNA (301 nucleotides) under Solanum tuberosum (potato). Its description in RNAcentral is "long non-coding RNA (STUB_LNC009217)". Lineage: Eukaryota; Viridiplantae; Streptophyta; Magnoliopsida; Solanales; Solanaceae. The record is from RNAcentral.